AGUGAACGCUGGCGGUAGGCCUAACACAUGCAAGUCGAACGGCAGCACAGUAAGAGCUUGCUCUUACGGGUGGCGGGUGGCGGACGGGUGAGGAAUACAUCGGAAUCUACUUUUUCGUGGGGGAUAACGUAGGGAAACUUACGCUAAUACCGCAUACGACCUACGGGUGAAAGCAGGGGAUCUUCGGACCUUGCGCGAUUGAAUGAGCCGAUGUCGGAUUAGCUAGUUGGGGGGGUAAAGGCCCACCAAGGCGACGAUCCGUAGCUGGUCUGAGAGGAUGAUCAGCCACACUGGAACUGAGACACGGUCCAGACUCCUACGAGAGGCAGCAGUGGGGAAUAUUGGACAAUGGGCGCAAGCCUGAUCCAGCCAUACCGCGUGGGUGAAGAAGGCCUUCGGGUUGUAAAGCCCUUUUGUUGGGAAAGAAAAGCAGCAGCUUAAUACCCCGCUGUUCUGACGGUACCCAAAGAAUAAGCACCGGCUAACUUCGUG
RNAcentral lists this ribosomal RNA (492 nucleotides) under uncultured bacterium. RNAcentral's name for it is "partial 16S ribosomal RNA". It matches the Rfam family "Bacterial small subunit ribosomal RNA", at positions 29 to 507 of the family's 1533-position model. The record is from RNAcentral.